GCACGGUGAUGGAUUUAUGGUGGGCCCGUCCAUGUGGGCCUUCCACAGUGUGCCAUGCGAGAGCAAAGUGCGCCUCGAACCAUUGUCUGGCCUCUGCUGUGAGCUGAGAGCACUGAAGGGGGCUGCACAGUG
Molecule: small nucleolar RNA, 132 nt
Organism: Octodon degus (degu)
Lineage: Eukaryota; Metazoa; Chordata; Mammalia; Rodentia; Octodontidae
Source: Ensembl